Molecule: long non-coding RNA, 1683 nt
Organism: Zonotrichia albicollis (white-throated sparrow)
Lineage: Eukaryota; Metazoa; Chordata; Aves; Passeriformes; Passerellidae
Source: RefSeq, a predicted model, not a curated record
AGCUGCAGUAUAUAGUAUGUUGAUCUUAGAAUGUUAUGGUUUAGAUUGUUUUAUUGCAUUGAUUGGACUCAAUAUUGAGUAUUGAAAAGUUAAAUAGUUAAUAGCCAUUUAUCAAAAUAGAGAAAUAGCCAAUGUCUGUGUAAUUUUGUCAUGCUGUAGUAUUUAAAUACUUUUCAGUACACUUUAGCAUGUUCCUGUUAAUAAUUAAAACCAUCUUGUAACGGAUUAAAGGUGACCAGUUCCAAGAAGAAGAAACAUGGAGAGAUGCAUUGUAAGAAAUGAGUUAAUAACAAGAAAAUGUGGGAAAUCAUUUUUGAAAAAUCUGAAUCUCAACUUGUGCUUUAUAAAUCACGACCCAGAAGUAACUGGGGAUUCAGCCAGAUCUCAUUAAUUGCAGAGGAAGAGAAACUAUAAAGACUGAAAUUUAUGUAAAAUCAGUUCACUGGUCUAUUCUUUUAUGGGAACCACUUGGAACCAAUCUGUAUCUGCAACUCUUCUCUGGGAAAUGAGUCGAAGAGCUACAGCAGGUGCUUUAAAGUAAUAAGGGGUUUCCUGUGAAACCCAGUGGAGGGAUGACUCACCGCUUUAAUUAUGGCUUUCUUCUGUUGUAAAAGCAGGACUAUCAUUUGUAAAAGGCUCUUGUUGAGUAAAUGAGUUCCAACAGAAAAUCUUUGAUAGGGAAAAGAAGAUACCCAUAUUUUAUUUUAAAGGGUAUAAGAUUUAUAGGGAACAUCUUCAGACUACUACAAUGAUUAGUGUUGUCUGGGUAUCCCCAGAGUAACUGAAUGGAGCAGCAGUAACUCUUUUUGUGCUGUCUGGCAUUGCUUUAUUUUGAAUUUCUGACUUAUCUUUCAGUUCAGCUGUUUGAUUUAUUUCUAAAUGAUAUCUAUCCCAGACAGAUAUCACCAUAGUUCAUGCUGCUUCAGGAUGCUUGGAGUGGGUUUGGUCUGGUUUGGUUUUUACUUUAAAAAGACAUAGCUAAAAUUACAGUUACUAUUUCUUAAUUUCACAAUACCAUUCCUUUUUAGCAGGUUGCAUGUCCCUGGGAAAUAGGGCAGUCUUUACAAAUGGUGAACCACUUCCUGGGAAUUUUACUUUUUUCUUGGAAAACCACCAUUUUUCACCCCAUAAAAUGGGAGAUAAGGUCUUACAUAUCCAUUGUGUCUGGGCUGUAAGAAAAGACCCCUCGGAACUGAUACAACAUUCCACCCUGACAUGUGAUGAAAAUCCAGGGGACCAUGAUAGCUGAAUCAGAAACACCCUUUACAAUAUUUAUUGCAAAGUAGCAGUUUCUGGUGAAAAUUCCGCUGAUGAAAAGGAGGGAGGUUCUGGUAUUUGGGGUAUGUAGACAAAAAUAAUUAGGCAAAAUGGUUCUCUUCGAGGACAGAUGGGUCAUAUAACCCAGCUCUCAGUUCAUUUUCUAGGUUGGUUGGUUUUUUUCAUCUGACUUCUCUGCUCAGAAAUUAUGAACCUGAUUUUGCCCGUGUCUGUCACCAUCUGGCACAAUGCAUCUUCUUGCUAAGGUGAAGAAUUUCUGUGCUUGACAUAAACAUUUCUGGGGAAGUGUGCUCUUGUAUGAAGAAUGGCCCUAAAUGUGUCUCAGGAUGAGGUUUGCUUGCACCAAAGCUGUACAAGCCAAGGUCAGAGAAACUGAGGGAGGCUGAAGCUGCAUUAACACACAGG